RNAcentral lists this ribosomal RNA (405 nucleotides) under uncultured bacterium. RNAcentral's name for it is "partial 16S ribosomal RNA". It matches the Rfam family "Bacterial small subunit ribosomal RNA", at positions 28 to 526 of the family's 1533-position model. The record is from RNAcentral.
GACGAACGCUGGCGGCGUGCUUAACACAUGCAAGUCGAGCGGAGCGGCGAACGGGUGAGUAACGCGUGAGUACCUGCCCCCCUCUCUGGGAGAACAGUUGGAAACGGCUGCUAAUAACGGAAAGUGGGGGAUGUCUCGGGUACUCUCAGCUUGUUGGGGUGGUAUUGGCCUAACAAGGCGACGACGGGUAGCCGGCCUGAGAGGGCGACCGGCCACAUUGUGCUGAGAUACGGGCCAAACUGCUACGGGAGGCAGCAGGGGGGAAUAUUGCACAAGGGGGGAAACGCUGAUGGAGCACCGCCGCGUGCGGGAUGACUGCCUUCGGGUUGUAAACCGCUUUCAGCCAUGACGCGGUAGUGGCAGAAGAAGCACCGGCUAACUACGUGCCAGCAGCCGCGGUAAUAC